Long non-coding RNA from Ailuropoda melanoleuca (giant panda), 1827 nucleotides. Lineage: Eukaryota; Metazoa; Chordata; Mammalia; Carnivora; Ursidae. The record is from Ensembl.
CAUAUCAUUUGCAUUUACAGUGUAAAGCUGUUAUUAAAGGCAGGNACUGCAGCAAUAUCAUGCCCUUCCCUAAGUUUAACAUAUCAUUUGCAUUUACAGUGUAAAGCUGUUAUUAAAGGCAGGGUAUUUUUGCAAGUGCCAAUGUUGUAUCUUCUGUCUCCUUUCUCUUGUAGUGGCACAGCAUUUAAGAACCUGCUGCUCGGCCACCUGUUCAUGUUUAGUGCUGUGAGAACCACGUUCCUGUCAUCAGCAAAUUUCUUUUUUCAGUUGUAAUAUCAUUUCAACCUCAUCUCGGAUGGUGGUGCUCAGAAAGAGCAUAGAGCUGGGCACCAGCAUCCAGGAAAGGGGCGGUGCAUCCCCACCCCAAGAUCAUGCAAGUUCUUCCUGUUGAUAAAAACAUCUCUAGGGAAGGACAACUUCUGGCUCUCACCUUUAGGGCAUGGGAUUUUCAGUUUGCCCAUUUUAACAUGCGUGUGGUCAAAGCUCUGGGGCUCCCCUCUGGAUCACAAAUAGCCAUUGCGUCAAGCAAACUCCUAGGCGGCUGGUUAGCUUGAGAGCAUCCUGAUGAAGACAUGGAGUAUUUCCUGCAGAAGAUCCUUUCUACCCACCUGCAGUCAAUUCCAGCAGUGGUUUCAACUACACGAAGGAUGGUGAGAAAGAUAAAAUGGUUUGUUUCAUUGCCAAAUGAUUCAUUUGGGGUGACUGGGAGACCCUGUGCAAUGGUCUUGGGUUUAUUGCAGAAAAAAAAAAAAAAAAAGUCGGUGAAAAACUAGAAUCCAGGACACGAACUACAAAAGAUAGACCAGAGAGUCUCCUGUUCUUGAGGUCUAAUCUAUGCACAUCUCUGCCAUUAGCAGGAGGAAAGGACUAGAAAAAGAGAGAGAGGAAGGGAAGGAAAAAGUGAAGCGGAUAAGAACUGGACAAAGUCAAAGAGAGGAGACACUUCUGCACUGGCCUGGAUAUUAAUACUCACUUAAUAUUCAGUGCUCUAACAAAUGCUGAAGACCAGUGAUUAAAUGCAACAAGAAUCUCGAGUCUGGCACUCCAAAGAGGGAGGAAAGGGAUAGGAAAAUGAAUCUAAUCAACAUUUAUGCCUCCGCCAUGCUGGGCUAUCACAGAAAGGUUCUGGUCCUGUGAAGGCUCUGAGGCCACCAUGAAGGAGACAUGGGGCUUUCAGCCACCGGGAUUAUGAUACUGGAUUAAGGAGGGGAGAUAAGGGUGUUCCCAAACAAGGAAGCAGAGAACUACUCUGGGGCGAAGGACUUGGUCAGGGUCAUAGGAACUUAGAAAUUUUAAGUUUAAGUGAAUCAAGUCUUUAAUGACCAGAUAACACCCAUGCUGUUUAAACCAUUCAAGAAGAGAGAAGAGAGAAGUGUAGGAGAAGCAAAGCCUCCCAAUUAUUUUAUAAGUAUAAACACUGAUGACAAAAUCUAUCAACGAUAGCACAACAAAAAGAUAUACGAAUACAAGCAUCUGAGAUGAAAUGUUUUCAACCAGAAUCCAGCGGAACUUUACAAGAAUAGACUGGGGCACCUGGUUGGCUCAGUUGGUGGAGUGUGCAACUCUUGAUGUUGGGGUUGUGAGUUCGAGCCCCACGUUGGGUGUAGAGAUGGCUUAAAUUAAUAAAACUUGGAAAAAAAAAAGAGACUUCAUUUUGGGAAGGCAAAAGUAGUUCUACCCUAGGAUAUCUAGUAAUAUAAUUCCCCAUAUUUCUCAGAGGAGUAAAAGCAUUUAGUCAUUUCCACUGGUGCUAAUAAAAAGAAUUUGUAACAUAUAUUUGUAACAUACGUUCAUUAUUUUCUAAAGUAUCCUUAAUAAAAUAGGAAU